RNAcentral lists this long non-coding RNA (206 nucleotides) under Elaeis guineensis (African oil palm). Its description in RNAcentral is "long non-coding RNA (EGUI_LNC002815)". Lineage: Eukaryota; Viridiplantae; Streptophyta; Magnoliopsida; Arecales; Arecaceae. The record is from RNAcentral.
CCCUCUCUCUUUUCCUUGUGGACACACUCCAUUUUCUUUCCUUUAGCUGUCUCUAUCUCUUUCACCCUCUCUCCUAUUCUCUCUAUCCCUCUUUAUCUCCCUCUAUGCCUCUCUACCUCAUUCUCUCUCUAGAGCUCUCUCUUUCUCUCCAGAAGUCUCUCUCUCCUCAUCUCUCUAUCUCUCUAUCCCUCCCUAUAUCUCUUAUU